GAUGAAGAACGUAGCGAAAUGCGAUAAGUAAUGUGAAUUGCAGAAUUCAGCGAAUCAUCGAAUCUUUGAACGCACAUUGCGCCCGCCAGUAUUCUGGCGGGCAUGCCUGUUCGAGCGUCAUUUCAACCAUCAAGCCCCCGGCUUGUGUUGGGGACCUGCGGCUGCCGCAGGCCCUGAAAACCAGUGGCGGGCUCGCUAGUCACUCCGAGCGUAGUAAUACAUCUCGCUCAGGGCGUGCUGCGGGUUCCGGCCGUUAAAAAGCCUUAUUUACCCAAGGUUGACCUCGGAUCAGGUAGGAAGACCCGCUGAACUUAAGCAUAUCAAUAAGCGGAGGA
This 335-nucleotide unclassified non-coding RNA is filed under the name soil metagenome. RNAcentral's name for it is "partial contains 5.8S ribosomal RNA, internal transcribed spacer 2, and large subunit ribosomal RNA". The stretch from base 1 to 120 matches the Rfam family "5.8S ribosomal RNA", at positions 35 to 154 of the family's 154-position model. The record is from RNAcentral.